AGUGGGAUAGCUGGGUCAAAUGGUGGUUCCGUUUCAACUUUUUUUAAAAGAAUCUUCAUUGUAUUUUACAGAUUGGUUGCACCAAUUUGCAGUUCCACCAGCAAU
RNAcentral lists this microRNA precursor (105 nucleotides) under Marmota monax (woodchuck). Lineage: Eukaryota; Metazoa; Chordata; Mammalia; Rodentia; Sciuridae. The record is from RNAcentral.